CGGGGCGUAGCGCAGUUUGGUAGCGCGCAUGGUUCGGGUCCAUGAGGUCGGCAGUUCGAAUCUGCCCGCCCCGA
This 74-nucleotide transfer RNA is filed under the name Myxococcales bacterium. Its description in RNAcentral is "tRNA-Pro". It matches the Rfam family "tRNA". From Rfam's summary of the family: Transfer RNA (tRNA) molecules are approximately 80 nucleotides in length. Their secondary structure includes four short double-helical elements and three loops (D, anti-codon, and T loops). Further hydrogen bonds mediate the characteristic L-shaped molecular structure. tRNAs have two regions of fundamental functional importance: the anti-codon, which is responsible for specific mRNA codon recognition, and the 3' end, to which the tRNAs corresponding amino acid is attached (by aminoacyl-tRNA synthetases). tRNAs cope with the degeneracy of the genetic code in two manners: having more than one tRNA (with a specific anti-codon) for a particular amino acid; and 'wobble' base-pairing, i.e. permitting non-standard base-pairing at the 3rd anti-codon position. The record is from RNAcentral. Lineage: Bacteria; Pseudomonadati; Myxococcota; Myxococcia; Myxococcales. RNAcentral also lists the same sequence under 1 other name.